UCGAGGAUCUUCGGCAAUUGGCGAAAGCCUGACCGAGCGAUGCCGCGUGCGCGAUGAAGGCCUUCGGGUUGUAAAGCGCUUUAGUGGGGGAGAAAAACCCGAAAGGGUCUGAUCUAUCCCAAAAAUAAGCUCGGGCUAAGUUCGUGCCAGCAGCCGCGGUAAGACGAACCGAGCGAACGUUGUUCGGAAUCACUGGGCUUAAAGGGCGCGUAGGCGGGCUGUCAAGUCUGGGGUGAAAUCCCACGGCUCAACCGUGGAACUGCCUUAGAUACUGACGGCCUCGAGUGAGGUAGGGGCGAGCGGAACUGGGAGUGGAGCGGUGAAAUGCGUUGAUAUUCACAGGAACUCCGGUGGCGAAGGCGGCUCGCUGGAUCUUUUCUGACGCUGAGGCGCGAAAGCUAGGGGAGCAAACG
RNAcentral lists this ribosomal RNA (413 nucleotides) under uncultured Gemmata sp. Its description in RNAcentral is "bacterial SSU rRNA". It matches the Rfam family "Bacterial small subunit ribosomal RNA", at positions 355 to 774 of the family's 1533-position model. Lineage: Bacteria; Pseudomonadati; Planctomycetota; Planctomycetia; Gemmatales; Gemmataceae. The record is from RNAcentral.